Pseudopipra pipra is the source of this 4134-nucleotide long non-coding RNA. RefSeq lists it as uncharacterized. The record is from RefSeq and is a predicted model, not a curated record. The transcript has 2 exons. NCBI's taxonomy places the organism in Eukaryota, Metazoa, Chordata, Aves, Passeriformes, Pipridae.
CUCUUGCAGCCUGCGGAGCGAGGAGCGCCGGGGCUGAAACCGACCAAUAGGGCGCCGAGGCGGGCGGGGCCUGGUGGUGGGGGCAGCCAAUCGGAGAAGGGACGCGCUCCACGCGCUGGGCGCGGGGGGCUGCGGCGGCCACGUCGGGAGGCGGCGGGAGCCGGGGGGAGCCGGGGGCACCUUCGGGCGGCCCCGCCCGCGGGGAGAGAGGGCGGCCUCGCCUCAGCGCCGCGGUCCGGCCGCGGGCCCAUCCGGGGGGACCGGCAGUGCUGCAGCGCGGGGGUGCGCGUGGUCCUCCGCAUCGGCAACAGAACCACAGAAUCGAUUAGGCUGGAAAAGACCUGAGAUCAUCGAGUGCAACUCAGGACCGAACACCACCGUGCCAACUAGUCUGAGUGCCGCGUCCAGUCUUCCCUUUAACACCUCCAGGAACGGUGACUCCCCCACCUCCCUGGGCAGCCCAUUCCAAGAUCUAAUCACCCUUUCUGUGAAAAAAUUGCUCCUAAUGUCCAGCCUAAACCUCCUCUGGCACAGCUGGAGGCCGUGUCCUCUCAUCUUGCCGCUGGUUGCCUGGGAAGAGAGGCGGACUCCUACUUGGUUAUAACCUCCUUUCAGGUCCUGCGGUGGCAGUGCCAGCAGGAGCACGAUGUGUCCAUUGCUGUGGAUUGGCACAAUCUCUAUAAUGUGUUGCGCAGCAGUUGGGUACUUGGGCAACAGUUGAGCAAAGAGAAGAAUAAACAAAACAAAAAACAAAACCAACAAUGAAAAAGAAACCCGAAAAGACAACCUAAGGAAAAAAAACAACAACCCAAACCAAAAAGGCUACCUAAAGACUGUAGAGGGCUCCAAAUAAAUUUUUUGGUGAAGCUGUUAAGGGAAAAUCUCAACUUUGAACAGACAUUUUAAAGGUAUUUUUCUAGCUUUCAUGCUCUCAUGUAAAUUUGCAAAAAAACCUCUGAACUGUGGAGUAUCUGAAACCAAAUAUACACAGAACUUCUUUGGAAAAGAUAGCUUAUUUGUAGUGUCAGACAUGUGACUCUUUAGCCAUUUUAACUGGUAAUGAGUGUAAAACUGGUUGGUUUCUAGGGUAUCACUUUGCUUUCUUCAGGCUAGUUUCUAUUCAGAGAGUCACCAUGGGAGAAAAAGGUUGAGUUUGGCUGCAUUAACAUAUUCACUGUAAAGCAAAGGGGAUUUUGACUUUUGGGAAUUUUUCUACCUCUGUAAUUUUUUUGUUUGUUUCAUGGGUCUCAUUAAUGUUUGUCGGACAUUAAUCUUCACUGGAAUAGAGCUAGCAUUUGUUCUUUCUUAGCAGUAGGGGGAGGGUUGCUAACAAAUAGUGGUACUUUAUGUAUUUUUCCCAUUUUGUAAACCUCCUUCAGCAUUGUCUUCCAGCUCAUCAAUGGCUUUAGAGAUCUACAGGAUUUUUAUGCAAAUACUAAAAUAAAUCUGAAGAGCACUGCUAUAAAAAUACAUAUUAUUAAAAAAAGCCAAAGCUGUACCGUAUAUACUUAGUGUAUAAUUAAAUCUGCUUCCCACUUUGAUUUUCAAUCAUAAGUCAAAAUUUCACAUUUUGAUGUCUAAGUACCAUGUGCUUGACUGUGUUAGAAUACUGCUGGUGUCUGACAGCCAUAUUCAGGCUCUUUUUUGUAAUUACAUAAAACCUUGACUGAUCUUACCUCAGUGGAGAGAAUUAUUCUGACAGGGUGGUUAUUCACUUGUUUAAUAUGUAAUUCACAGCCCAUUUGACUUGAGUUUUCUUUUUGUGUAUCACUGUGAGUGCAUCUCAAUGGGAGAGGCUUCUAUUUCUGGCAGCACAUUGAAAUCAGUGCAAGUCUAAUAUAUCCUAUCCCUAGUAGACUUUGAGACACUAAACUACAUCAAAUUCUCAAAAUGUUUAAUAUCCUAUUCAAUGAACAUUUAUUACAUUGGAGACAUUUACUACUAACCCUGACAAUUUCUGCUCUGUUCUUUUGCCUUGGUCUCAGUUAUACCACAAACAACUCAUCUAAUUAGCGGGUACCUUAAUUAUACAGGUGUGUAUAACUCAGUGAUGUGCACUGCUAAGUAGCAGGGCAGGUUCUUCAGGAAAAAUCAGGCUUUGUGGAAGGUGUGCCAAACACCUUUUAACAGACAUUGAGCAAUACCAGAGAAGAAAAAAACCUGAUUUCAGUGACCACCUUUAAAGCAUAACUAUCGUGUUAAUUGUAUGAAUACAACUGCAGUGUUAGGACACAGGGUUAAUGUCAAGGUUGUGCAUCUUACUGGGCCUUUGCAGAUCUGACUGUACUGAGAAUUUGGGAAUUUUACAUUUAAUUCUGAGCUUCUCAGAUUUCUUAUGUUUAGUUUUCUAGGUUACCAGUUGGACUGACACUGCCAACUACUCCACUGAACCAUGCCCCCAAGCACCACGUCUACAUCUGUUUAAAUACCUCCGGGGAUGCUGACUUAACCACUUCCACAGGCAGCCUGGGGACAGAUUUUUAGAAGGACCUGCAGGAAUAGGACUACUAAGGGUAGAUUCAGACUAGAUAUAAGCAGAAUUUUGUUUUACAAUGAGGGUAGUGAAACACUGUAACAAAUUGUCCAGGGCGGUGGAGGAUGCCACAUCCCUGGAAACACUGAAGGUCAGGUUGGACUAGCUCUGAGCAACCAAAUAUCGCUGAAGACGUCCAUGCCCACUGCAAGGGGAUUGAACUAGAUGACCUUUUAAGAUGUCUUUCAACCCAAACCAUUUUAUGAUUCUAUGAACAUCUAAAUGUUCAUAGAUUUCCAUGGGCAUAUGAUACCCCACCCAGAUUCAGCUCUGAAUACUCCCCGAAUGGAUGUGUUUCUAGGUCUGAAUCUGAGACCUGGCAAAGCUGCUCCAGUCUUGACAGUCCUGAUUAGUUCUUCACAUUGCUCAUGUGUUAGGCCUGUCAGGUUGUGGAGAUGGCCAACGACCACCAUUGACUUCACCUCUAGCCUGAUGCACUGCAGAUAAGAAGGCUGAGGAUACUUGCUGCAUUUUCUGCCUGAUGUUACACCCAGAAGUCAGAUGCUGGGCUACAAAUUUCUUUUCUGUCUGAGCACGCAUCUUUUUGCAAACUAAAAGCUCUUGCUGCUGCAGGGUUCUCUCUGAGUCAGGUCUUUUGUUUUGCAUGGAAACAUCCCAAAGUGAACCCGAAACAACAUGACCUAAUAUCUUACUAGUGCAGGCAUUGACAUGGAUGGAGAAAUACUGGGAUUUUCAUUCUUUCUCUAAUUAAGGUUAAAUUACUCUAUACAACGUAUCAAUUAGGGUUGAGCAUGAACUCUUUAAAUUUCAGUUGUAAGCAAUUACCUUAGUCACUAUGUUGCAGAUUUCGCCCACUCAUGUCUUGUUUCAACCCUACCUCAGUUGCAACAUGUGGAGAGGAGGAAUGAGCCUGUCAGUUAUUCAGGGAGAGGAGGUGUUUGAUCAAAUUACAGGCAGGUAUUUCAGUGUUCUGAGUGAAUUCAUUAAUUACCGAGGUGCUCAGUAGAGACUCCUCCUUACUCCCCCUUUAGGAGAGAGGGUUAACUACAGUGUCUAACUCCUAGGACUUAAUGGGGUUAGAUGAUCCUUUAAUGAAGUGGAAGUCAAGAUGUACUUAAUUCCUGCGAUUGGCUUCUGUCUCCAUUCCCUUCACAUUGGGUCUUGUUAUUCCCAUGUAAGUGUAAAACAACACAAGUCCUCCAGAAGAAGCAGUUUCUCACUGCCUCCCAGCCUGAUCCUUGGCCAUUCACUCAUUCUGCUUUCCAAUCACUUGUGCUGGUGUGGCUUCAUGAUGGAACAGAUAAAGAAAUAAAUGUGGCUGAAAGCUAUCCCACAAAAGCAGUUGGGACCUGUUACGUGAGACAGGGUCCUCUACCACCUCUUCCAUGCUUGUGUUGGUGCAGAGUGGAGAUUGUCCAGCACAGCACUCCACAAUCAAGCAGACCACGGGAUUAAGGCACUGCAUGGGGAACCUUGGCCACUGCAUGUUAUCUGCAACACACUCUGUCAGGGAAGCUGGCUUUACAGGAUUUGGGUUUUGUUUACCAGGCAGUGUACUGAGACAAAGGGCCAGGAUAGCUACAAGCCUGUGUGUGUCUUUUUGGUGGAUCUAUUUAAUAAAGAUUUUCAGAGAAGGCUCA